This 460-nucleotide ribosomal RNA is filed under the name uncultured bacterium. Its description in RNAcentral is "partial 16S ribosomal RNA". It matches the Rfam family "Bacterial small subunit ribosomal RNA", at positions 338 to 795 of the family's 1533-position model. The record is from RNAcentral.
CCUACGGGGGGCAGCAGUGAGGAAUAUUGGUCAAUGGACGAGAGUCUGAACCAGCCAAGUAGCGUGAAGGAUGACUGCCCUAUGGGUUGUAAACUUCUUUUAUAUGGGAAUAAAACGUUCCACGUGUGGGAUUUUGUAUGUACCAUAUGAAUAAGGAUCGGCUAACUCCGUGCCAGCAGCCGCGGUAAUACGGAGGAUCCGAGCGUUAUCCGGAUUUAUUGGGUUUAAAGGGAGCGUAGGUGGAUUGUUAAGUCAGUUGUGAAAGUUUGCGGCUCAACCGUAAAAUUGCAGUUGAAACUGGCAGUCUUGAGUACAGUAGAGGUGGGCGGAAUUCGGGGUGUAGCGGUGAAAUGCUUAGAUAUCACGAAGAACUCCGAUUGCGAAGGCAGUUCACUGGACUGCAACUGACACUGAGGCUCGAAAGUGUGGGUAUCAAACAGGAUUAGAUACCCUAGUAGUC